This 584-nucleotide ribosomal RNA is filed under the name uncultured beta proteobacterium. RNAcentral's name for it is "bacterial SSU rRNA". It matches the Rfam family "Bacterial small subunit ribosomal RNA", at positions 843 to 1431 of the family's 1533-position model. The record is from RNAcentral. Lineage: Bacteria; Pseudomonadati; Pseudomonadota; Betaproteobacteria.
GUAACGCAGCUAACGCGUGAAGUAGACCGCCUGGGGAGUACGGUCGCAAGAUUAAAACUCAAAGGAAUUGACGGGGACCCGCACAAGCGGUGGAUGAUGUGGAUUAAUUCGAUGCAACGCGAAAAACCUUACCUACGCUUGACAUGCUCGGAAUCCUGCAGAGAUGUGGGAGUGCCCGAAAGGGAACCGGGACACAGGUGCUGCAUGGCUGUCGUCAGCUCGUGUCGUGAGAUGUUGGGUUAAGUCCCGCAACGAGCGCAACCCUUGUCAUUAGUUGCUACGCAAGAGCACUCUAAUGAGACUGCCGGUGACAAACCGGAGGAAGGUGGGGAUGACGUCAAGUCCUCAUGGCCCUUAUGCGUAGGGCUUCACACGUCAUACAAUGGUCGGUACAGAGGGCUGCCAACCCGCGAGGGGGAGCUAAUCCCGUAAAACCGAUCGUAGUCCGGAUUGGAGUCUGCAACUCGACUCCAUGAAGUCGGAAUCGCUAGUAAUCGUGGAUCAGCAUGCCACGGUGAAUACGUUCCCGGGUCUUGUACACACCGCCCGUCACACCAUGGGAGUGGGUUUUACCAGAAGUAGUU